UACGGGGGGGGCAAGCGUUGUUCGGAAUUACUGGGCGUAAAGGGCUCGUAGGCGGCCAACUAAGUCGGAUGUGAAAUCCCCAGGCUCAACCUGGGAACUGCAUCCGAUACUGGAUGGCUUGAAUUCGGGAGAGGGAUGCAGAAUUCCAGGUGUAGCGGUGAAAUGCGUAGAUAUCUGGAGGAACACCGGUGGCGAAGGCGGCGUCCUGGACCAAUACUGACACUGAUGAGCGAAAGCCAGGGGAGCAAACGGG
Molecule: ribosomal RNA, 253 nt
Filed under: uncultured bacterium
Lineage: Bacteria
Description: partial 16S ribosomal RNA
Rfam family: Bacterial small subunit ribosomal RNA
Source: RNAcentral